CAGCCGCCGCGGGAAUACAGAGGGUGCGAGCGUUAAUCGGAUUUACUGGGCGUAAAGCGUGCGUAGGCGGCUUCUUAAGUCGGAUGUGAAAUCCCUGAGCUUAACUUAGGAAUUGCAUUCGAUACUGGGAAGCUAGAGUAUGGGAGAGGAUGGUAGAAUUCCAGGUGUAGCGGUGAAAUGCGUAGAGAUCUGGAGGAAUACCGAUGGCGAAGGCAGCCAUCUGGCCUAAUACUGACGCUGAGGUACGAAAGCAUGGGGAGCAAACAGGAUUAGAUACCCGUGUAGUCCAUGUCUCUUAUAU
This 301-nucleotide ribosomal RNA is filed under the name uncultured bacterium. RNAcentral describes it as "partial 16S ribosomal RNA". It matches the Rfam family "Bacterial small subunit ribosomal RNA", at positions 509 to 809 of the family's 1533-position model. The record is from RNAcentral.